AGAAGGUUGGCAGAUUUGUAAUGCAGUUAGCUUGAAACUAAAGAGAUGCAGGUUUAACUCCUGUACCUUCUU
This 72-nucleotide transfer RNA is filed under the name Ophiura luetkenii. Its description in RNAcentral is "tRNA-Ser". It matches the Rfam family "tRNA". Rfam says of the family: Transfer RNA (tRNA) molecules are approximately 80 nucleotides in length. Lineage: Eukaryota; Metazoa; Echinodermata; Ophiuroidea; Amphilepidida; Ophiuridae. The record is from RNAcentral.